This is a long non-coding RNA of Entelurus aequoreus (snake pipefish), 588 nucleotides long. RefSeq lists it as uncharacterized. The record is from RefSeq and is a predicted model, not a curated record. The transcript is spliced from 3 exons. NCBI's taxonomy places the organism in Eukaryota, Metazoa, Chordata, Actinopteri, Syngnathiformes, Syngnathidae.
GAAAGCUGCAUUUAUCAACCAUCUUUGACAAUUUGCUUCCAGCAGUUAACGGAUGGACUUUUGUGGGAACAUACGUGCGUGUCCGUGGAGGAUUUAAACAACAUGAUGGGUGAGGAGCUCAGUGAUCCGGGAGGAGCUCAGAGUAGAGCUGCUGCUCCUUCACAUCGAAAAGAGCCAGUUGAGGUGGAUCGGGCAUCUAGUUCGGAUGCCUCCUGGACGUCUCCCUAGUCAGAUGCUCCAGGCAUGCCCAGCCAGAAGGAGGGAUUAUGUCUCGCCUGGGAACGCCUCGGCCCAAUCCCGGAACUGGAAGAGAUGUCAGGGCUUCCCUACUGGGACUGCUAUCCGGAUCCGGAAAUGCUGAAGAACAUGGAUGGAUGUAUGGAUUCCCAUUUUGGGCUGGUGGAUUGUCACGAGAUUUGAGCGGCCAGCGGAGGAGAGAGGUGGGAGAAACUGGAGAGACAGACAUCUGAAAAUAUUGUACUGAAAAGAUUGUUCUUGGCAUCGCAUGUGUAUUAAAACUCUGUUAAACGGCACGCCUGACUCCUGUGACGUGGUAUCCGUGGAACGGGUAGGGAACAACCUCUACAC